RNAcentral lists this ribosomal RNA (236 nucleotides) under uncultured bacterium. RNAcentral describes it as "partial 16S ribosomal RNA". It matches the Rfam family "Bacterial small subunit ribosomal RNA", at positions 112 to 334 of the family's 1533-position model. The record is from RNAcentral.
AACACGUGGAUAAUCUGUCUUAGAGUGGGGAAUAACUCGGGGAAACCUGAGCUAAUACCGCAUACGCUUCCCGGGCUGCGGCCCGGGUCGGAAGGGUGACCUCUUCAUGAAAGUUGCCACUCUUCGAGGAGUCCGCGUCUGAUUAGCUUGUUGGUGGGGUAAUGGCCUACCAAGGCGGCGAUCAGUAGCCGGCCUGAGAGGGCGAUCGGCCACACUGGAACUGAGACACGGUCCAG